GACGAACCGUGCGAACGUUGUUCGGAUUCACUGGGCUUAAAGGGCGCGUAGGCGGCUUGCCAAGUCAGGGGUGAAAUCUUUCGGCUCAACCGGAAAAGUGCUUCUGAUACUGGCGGGCUGGAGGGGGGUAGGGGCAGAUGGAACUUCCGGUGGAGCGGUGAAAUGCGUAGAGAUGUGGAGGAAUACCGAUGGCGAAGGCAGCCCCCUGGGCCAAUACUGACGCUCAUGCACGAAAGCGUGGGGAGCAAACAGG
This 253-nucleotide ribosomal RNA is filed under the name uncultured bacterium. RNAcentral describes it as "partial 16S ribosomal RNA". It matches the Rfam family "Bacterial small subunit ribosomal RNA", at positions 524 to 776 of the family's 1533-position model. The record is from RNAcentral.